Molecule: long non-coding RNA, 1326 nt
Organism: Brassica napus (rape)
Lineage: Eukaryota; Viridiplantae; Streptophyta; Magnoliopsida; Brassicales; Brassicaceae
Exons: 4
Source: RefSeq, a predicted model, not a curated record
AUCUAUGUUUAAAGAAAAAAAAACAGAAAAGGAAAAAAGACCAAAUCUGUCGACGCUUCUUUUCCCAUCCAUGGCGAUUGAAGGAAAAAAUAAUAGAAAGGAACAAAUCGACGCUUCAUCCCCAUCCAUGGCGAUUGAAGGUUCAGAAAUCAAUAUCAAUACCGGUAAAUACUGUAACGAUGGCUUGAAGAUCUUCAACGAUGAGGGUAACAAAUCUGAUUUGGAAACAAAAUCAAACCGUUGGUUGGAAACUCGUAAGAUCCACCAAGGACUUCUCGUAUUCCUGUCUCUUAAGAUCCGAAGGCUUCAUUUCUAUUUCCGUUGUUUGAUAUUUGGGUUUCAAUUUCGCCGAGUGAUAAUCAGAUUUGAAAGAAAACUAAUCGGUAAGUAUAAUUUAAGUUUUUAAUCAUUUGUUAAAAGUUAAUCUCAGAUAUUUAGUCACCAAAUAUAUGCAUGUAACAUUUUUUGGAUUUUUUUUUGCAUGUGAGAUUGGAAUGGUUUCCAAGAAUCCGACGAAGUUCAGAAGCGGGUGAAAAUCUGAUCAAUUAAAAUUGAUUCGACAACAUCUCUGCCUAAAUAAAAGCCAAGUAACUGUCCCAAUAAAGCAUCUUCUUCAAGAUCUCCCAAGUCCACAACUUGACCAAUCACAUCUGAAAAAAAACAUCAAUACUUAGCCAGAGGCCACGAGAGUACAAUAGAUAAGAAGAUUGCGUAAAUAAUUACCAAUGAGAAAACAUGUUUUGAGUGAUCCACCCAAAACAGUCUGGAAGUCCACCAAGCUUAGAAACAUGUCUUCGUUGGUAAGAGGAGACCUUGUGAUUGCCGUAUUCUGAAUGAUGCUCAUUUUGAAGGGAUGAUCGGUUGCUCGGUACAUGCCAGUUGAAGGACUGAGGGUGAAAUUCUGAAUGUGCCUCCAUGCUCCAACAGGAAGAAGGCGGCCUUUACUCUCCAUGCAACGAAACAGAGUUAUGUUCUUCGGGUAGAGGUUGAGUGAGAAAUCGAAAGAAGGUUCAGCAAGCAAGGUGUUUGUUGCUGCAUUUUGAUGAUCCAACUGGAUUAAUCUUAAACUAUGAGGAAUUUUUAUGGAAAAAACGUGAUCAAGCUCUGCCUUUUGUUGUUGCUCUUCAAGUAACUUCGCUGGGUAAAAGUAGAGUGAGAAUCGAAAAAGCAUCUUGCAUGAAAUAGCGUUGAAAUUGUUAAGUUUUAUAAAAUAAUAAAUGAUGACUAAUUUUUUUAAAUAAUUAAUAUUAAUUCAGUGGCAUUCACUUGUAAUUAUCAGAAAAACUCAGGACUGAGUACAAAAUAUACUCUUGUUUUAAUACAUUA